Molecule: ribosomal RNA, 1344 nt
Filed under: uncultured bacterium
Lineage: Bacteria
Description: bacterial SSU rRNA
Rfam family: Bacterial small subunit ribosomal RNA
Source: RNAcentral
GAUGAACGCUGGCGGCGUGCUUAACACAUGCAAGUCGAACGGAAAGGCUCCUGCUUGCAGGGGUACUCGAGUGGCAAACGGGUGAGUAACACGUGGGUGACCUGCCCUGCACUUCCGGAUAAGCCUGGGAAACUGGGUCUAAUACCGGAUAGGACCACAUUUUGGAUGGUGUGGUGGAAAGUUUUUUCGGUGUGGGAUGAGCUCGCGGCCUAUCAACUUGUUGGUGGGGUAAUGGCCUACCAAGGCGUCAACGGGUAGCCGGCCUGAGAGGGUGUACGGCCACAUUGGGACUGACAUACGGCCCAGACUCCUACGGGAGGCAGCAGUGGGGAAUAUUGCACAAUGGGCGCAAGCCUGAUGCAGCGACCCCUCGUGGGGGAUGACGGCCUUCGGGUUGUAAACUCCUUUCGCUACGGACGAAACGUAAGUGACGGUACCUGGAGAACAAUCACCGGCUAACUACGUGCCAGCAGCCGCGGUAAUACGUAGGGUGCGAGCGUUGUCCGGAAUUACUGGGCGUAAAGAGCUCGUAGGUGGUUUGUCGCGUCGGUUGUGUAAGCCCGCAUCUUAACUGCGGGACUGCAGGCGAUACGGGCAUAACUUGAGUGCUGUAGGGGAGACUGGAAUUCCUGGUGUAGCGGUGGAAUGCGCAAAUAUCAGGAGGAACACCGAUGGCGAAGGCAGGUCUCUGGGCAGUAACUGACGCUGAGGAGCGAAAGCAUGGGUAGCGAACGGGAUUAGAUACCCUGGUAGUCCAUGCCGUAAACGGUGGGCGCUAGGUGUGAGUCCCUUCCACGGGGUUCGUGCCGUAGCUAACGCAUUAAGCGCCCCGCCUGGGGAGUACGGCCGCAAGGCUAAAACUCAAAGGAAUUGACGGGGGCCCGCACAAGCGGCGGAGCAUGUGGAUUAAUUCGAUGCAACGCGAAGAACCUUACCUGGGCUUGACAUACACCAGACCGGGCCAGAGAUGGUCUUUCCCUUUGUGGUUGGUGUACAGGUGGUGCAUGGUUGUCGUCAGCUCGUGUCGUGAGAUGUUGGGUUAAGUCCCGCAACGAGCACAACCCUUGUCUUAUGUUGCCAGCACGUUAUGGUGGGGACUCGUGAGAGACUGCCGGGGUUAACUCGGAGGAAGGUGGGGAUGACGUCAAAUCAUCAUGCCCCUUAUGUCCAGGGCUUCACACAUGCUACAAUGGUCGGUACAACGCGUCUGCGAGCCUGUGAGGGUGAGCUAAUCGCUGUAAAGCCGGUCGUAGUUCGGAUUGGGGUCUGCAACUCGACCCCAUGAAGUCGGAGUCGUUAGUAAUCGCAGAUCAGCAACGCUGCGGUGAAUACGUUCCCGGCCCU